RNAcentral lists this transfer RNA (70 nucleotides) under Bhagadatta austenia (grey commodore). RNAcentral describes it as "tRNA-Leu". Lineage: Eukaryota; Metazoa; Arthropoda; Insecta; Lepidoptera; Nymphalidae. The record is from RNAcentral.
AGCUAUUUUGACAGAAAAAUGUAAUGGGUUUAGAAGUCAUGAAUAUAUAACUAGAUUUAUAUAAGUAGUA